CAGUCAGGACUAGCCUGCCAC
RNAcentral lists this microRNA (21 nucleotides) under Sarcophilus harrisii (Tasmanian devil). RNAcentral describes it as "Sha-Mir-34-P3b_3p* (star (passenger))". Lineage: Eukaryota; Metazoa; Chordata; Mammalia; Dasyuromorphia; Dasyuridae. The record is from RNAcentral.